GAAAUGCGAUAAUUAAUGUGAAUUGCAGAAUUCAGUGAAUCAUCGAGUCUUUGAACGCACAUUGCGCCCCCUGGUAUUCCGGGGGGCAUGCCUGUCCGAGCGUCAUUGCUGCCCUCAAGCACGGCUUGGGUGUUGGGCUUCCGUCCCUGGCAACGGGGACGGGCCCAAAAGGCAGUGGCGGCACCAUGUCUGGUCCUCGAGCGUGUGGGGCUUUGUCACCCGCUCCCGUAGGUCCAGCUGGCAGCUAGCCUCGCAACCAAUCUUUUUAACCAGGUUGACCUCGGAUCAGGUAGGGAUACCCGCUGAACUUAAGC
This 314-nucleotide unclassified non-coding RNA is filed under the name plant metagenome. RNAcentral's name for it is "partial contains 5.8S ribosomal RNA, internal transcribed spacer 2, and large subunit ribosomal RNA". The stretch from base 1 to 105 matches the Rfam family "5.8S ribosomal RNA", at positions 50 to 154 of the family's 154-position model. The record is from RNAcentral.